AGACACCUCUCUGCUGGCGUGUUCCUGGGUCCAUGAUGGAAGAAGGAAAAGUAUUUUUAAAAGACAAUCUAAAGCUCACACUGUGACUGCAACAUAAAAUGUGUUCACCUGAGGAGACUGCUUUCACCGUGAGUGUGUCACAGAAGGUCUCUGAUGGUUCUGGUUUCCUGGGCACCUAGAAUAAGUGUGUCAUCAUUUGUUCUGAAGCUGACUUCUCUGAGCUGGAUGGCACCCUGGACAUCAACCAGCCCUUCACCUUCACGUCACACAGGAGGGACACUGGUCCACAGAGAGGAUGCCUGCUCUGGUCACCAGCUGGAGAGUGGCAGACCUUGGGUACCUGACCUUUGGACUCUGCCACGCAGAGCACUUCCUCAGUCCCUCCUGCUGCCCCUGGCAGGGUGGAGCUGGCAGGGCAGCUGAUCCAGGACCGUCCACUUCCAAGCCAGCAGGAGGAUGGAAAAAC
RNAcentral lists this long non-coding RNA (466 nucleotides) under Pan troglodytes (chimpanzee). RNAcentral describes it as "lincRNA". Lineage: Eukaryota; Metazoa; Chordata; Mammalia; Primates; Hominidae. The record is from RNAcentral.